RNAcentral lists this ribosomal RNA (1286 nucleotides) under Halomonas sp. HL34. Its description in RNAcentral is "bacterial SSU rRNA". It matches the Rfam family "Bacterial small subunit ribosomal RNA", at positions 34 to 1313 of the family's 1533-position model. Lineage: Bacteria; Pseudomonadati; Pseudomonadota; Gammaproteobacteria; Oceanospirillales; Halomonadaceae. The record is from RNAcentral.
CGGCAUUGCGGCAGCCUAACACAUGCAGUCGAGCGGUAACAGAUCCAGCUUGCUGGAUGCUGACGAGCGGCGGACGGGUGAGUAAUGCAUAGGAAUCUACCCGGUAGUGGGGGAUAACCUGGGGAAACCCAGGCUAAUACCGCAUACGUCCUACGGGAGAAAGGGGGCUUUGGCUCCCGCUAUCGGAUGAGCCUAUGCCGGAUUAGCUGGUUGGUGAGGUAACGGCUCACCAAGGCGACGAUCCGUAGCUGGUCUGAGAGGAUGAUCAGCCACAUCGGGACUGAGACACGGCCCGAACUCCUACGGGAGGCAGCAGUGGGGAAUAUUGGACAAUGGGGGCAACCCUGAUCCAGCCAUGCCGCGUGUGUGAAGAAGGCCCUCGGGUUGUAAAGCACUUUCAGCGAGGAAGAACGCCUGGUGGUUAAUACCCGCCAGGAAAGACAUCACUCGCAGAAGAAGCACCGGCUAACUCCGUGCCAGCAGCCGCGGUAAUACGGAGGGUGCAAGCGUUAAUCGGAAUUACUGGGCGUAAAGCGCGCGUAGGUGGCUUGAUAAGCCGGUUGUGAAAGCCCCGGGCUCAACCUGGGAACGGCAUCCGGAACUAUCAGGCUAGAGUGCAGGAGAGGAAGGUAGAAUUCCCGGUGUAGCGGUGAAAUGCGUAGAGAUCGGGAGGAAUACCAGUGGCGAAGGCGGCCUUCUGGACUGACACUGACACUGAGGUGCGAAAGCGUGGGUAGCAAACAGGAUUAGAUACCCUGGUAGUCCACGCCGUAAACGAUGUCGACCAGCCGUUGGGUGCCUAGCGCACUUUGUGGCGAAGUUAACGCGAUAAGUCGACCCGCCUGGGGAGUACGGCCGCAAGGUUAAAACUCAAAUGAAUUGACGGGGGCCCGCACAAGCGGUGGGAGCAUGUGGUUUAAUUCGAUGCAACGCGAAGAACCUUUACCUACCUUUGACAUCCUGCGAACUUGGUAGAGAUACCUUGGGUGCCUUCCGGAAGCGCAAAGACAGGUGCUGCAUGGCUUGUCGUCAGCUCGUGUUUGUGAAAUUGUUGGGUAAGUCCAUUACCAACGCCAACCCUUUGUCCUAUUUGGCCAGCCGGGUAAUGCCCGGGAACUCCUAAGGAGACUGCCGUUGACAAACCGAUGAAGGUGGGGGACGACGUCAAGUCAUCAUGCCCUUUACGGUUAGGGCUACCACAUGCUACCAAUGGCCGGUUACAGGCGCAGACCUCGGAGAUCAUCGGGAAUCCUUAAGUCCGGUCUAGCCCGGGAAGUACGGAGAUC